CCUACGGGUGGCUGCAGUCGAGAAUCAUUCACAAUGGGGGAAACCCUGAUGGUGCGACGCCGCGUGGGGGAAUGAAGGUCUUCGGAUUGUAAACCCCUGUCAUGUGGGAGCAAAUUAAAAAGAUAGUACCACAAGAGGAAGAGACGGCUAACUCUGUGCCAGCAGCCGCGGUAAUACAGAGGUCUCAAGCGUUGUUCGGAAUCACUGGGCGUAAGGCGUGCGUAGGCUGUUUCGUAAGUCGUGUGUGAAAGGCGCGGGCUCAACCCGCGGACGGCACAUGAUACUGCGAGACUAGAGUAAUGGAGGGGGAACCGGAAUUCUCGGUGGAGCAGUGAAAUGCGUAGAUAUCGAGAGGAACACUCGUGGCGAAGGCGGGUUCCUGGACAUUAACUGACGCUGAGGCACGAAGGCCAGGGGAGCGAAAGGGAUUAGAUACCCGAGUAGUC
This 446-nucleotide ribosomal RNA is filed under the name uncultured bacterium. Its description in RNAcentral is "partial 16S ribosomal RNA". It matches the Rfam family "Bacterial small subunit ribosomal RNA", at positions 338 to 795 of the family's 1533-position model. The record is from RNAcentral.